CGCAUUCAGUUGCCAUCGGGUAAUGCCGGGCGACUCUGGAAGGACUGCCAUCGACAAGAUGGAGGAAGGUGGGGAGUGACGUCAAGUCAUCAUGGCCCUUAUGUCCAGGGCGACACACGUGCUACAAUGGCCGGCACAGCGGGAAGCGAGGGGGCGACCUUGAGCGGAUCCCUCAAAGCCGGUCUCAGUUCGGAUUGCAGUCUGCAACUCGACUGCAUGAAGUUGGAAUCGCUAGUAAUCGUGGAUCAGCCAUGGCGCGGUGAAUACGUUCCCGGGCCUU
This 280-nucleotide ribosomal RNA is filed under the name uncultured Thermovirga sp. RNAcentral describes it as "partial 16S ribosomal RNA". It matches the Rfam family "Bacterial small subunit ribosomal RNA", at positions 1106 to 1382 of the family's 1533-position model. The record is from RNAcentral. Lineage: Bacteria; Thermotogati; Synergistota; Synergistia; Synergistales; Thermovirgaceae.